Molecule: ribosomal RNA, 301 nt
Filed under: uncultured bacterium
Lineage: Bacteria
Description: bacterial SSU rRNA
Rfam family: Bacterial small subunit ribosomal RNA
Source: RNAcentral
GACGAACGCUGGCGGCGUGCUUAACACAUGCAAGUCGAGCGGUAAGGCCCUUUCGGGGGUACACGAGCGGCGAACGGGUGAGUAACACGUGGGUGACCUGCCCUCAGCUCUGGGAUAAGCCUGGGAAACUGGGUCUAAUACCGGAUAUGACUCCAUGACGCAUGUUGUGGGGUGGAAAGCCUUGUGCGGCUGAGGAUGGGCCCGCGGCCUAUCAGCUUGUUGGUGGGGUGANGGCCUACCAAGGCGACGACGGGUAGCCGGCCUGAGAGGGCGACCGGCCACACUGGGACUGAGACACGGG